GACGAACGCUGGCGGCGUGCCUAAUACAUGCAAGUAGAACGCUGAAGGAGGAGCUUGCUUCUCUGGAUGAGUUGCGAACGGGUGAGUAACGCGUAGGUAACCUGCCUGGUAGCGGGGGAUAACUAUUGGAAACGAUAGCUAAUACCGCAUAAUAGUAGAUGUCGCAUGACAUUUGCUUAAAAGUUGCAAUUGCAUCACUACCAGAUGGACCUGCGUUGGAUUAGCUAGUUGGUGAGGUAACGGCUCACCAAGGCAACGAUACAUAGCCGACCUGAGAGGGUGAUCAGCCACACUGGGACUGAGACACGGCCCAGACUCAUACGGGAGGCAGCAGUAGGGAAACGUCGGCAAUGGACGGAAGUCUGACCGAGCAACGCCGCGUGAGUGAAGAAGGAUGUCGGAUCGUAAAGCUCUGUUGUAAGAGAAGAACGAGUGUGAGAGUGGAAAGUUCACACUGUGACGGUAUCUUACCAGAAAGGGACGGCUAACUACGUG
RNAcentral lists this ribosomal RNA (495 nucleotides) under uncultured bacterium. RNAcentral's name for it is "partial 16S ribosomal RNA". It matches the Rfam family "Bacterial small subunit ribosomal RNA", at positions 28 to 507 of the family's 1533-position model. The record is from RNAcentral.